Long non-coding RNA from Oncorhynchus tshawytscha (Chinook salmon), 676 nucleotides. Lineage: Eukaryota; Metazoa; Chordata; Actinopteri; Salmoniformes; Salmonidae. The record is from Ensembl.
UCCCUGAACAUGACUACGGUGUUCUCCAAACCACCAUCCUGGAGUCUCUAGUGAAACGCAACCUGCAGCCCCUACCCAGCAUGACGCACAAGGUACUGACUGACCCUACCCAGCAUGACGCACAAGGUACUGACUGACCCUACCCAGCAUGACGCACAAGGUACUGACUGACCCUACCCAGCAUGACCAACAAUGUACUGACUGACCCUACCCAGCAUGACCAACAAGGUACUGACUGACCCUACCCAGCAUGACCAACAAGGUACUGACUGACCCUACCCAGCAUGACCAACAAGGUACUGACUGACCCUACCCAGCAUGACCAACAAGGUACUGACUGAUCCUACCCAGCAUGACCAACAAGGUACAGACUGAUCCCUUCCUCUCCCUCCCUCCAGGUGAUCUCUGUAUGGUUGUAACCCUCUCCCUCCCUCCAGGUGAUCUCUGUGUGGUUGUAACCCUUCCUCUCCCUCCCUCCAGGUGAUCUCUGUGUGGUUGUAACCCUUCCUCUCCCUCCCUCCAGGUGAUCUCUGUGUGGUUGUAACCCUCUCCCUCCCUCCCUCCAGGUGAUCUCUGUGUGGUUGUAACCCUCUCCCUCCCCCAGGUGAUCUCUGUGUGGUUGUAACCCUCUCCCUCCCUCCAGGUGAUCUCUGUGUGGUUGUAACCCUUCCUCUCC